Long non-coding RNA from Apis cerana (Asiatic honeybee), 7233 nucleotides. RefSeq lists it as uncharacterized. NCBI's taxonomy places the organism in Eukaryota, Metazoa, Arthropoda, Insecta, Hymenoptera, Apidae. The record is from RefSeq and is a predicted model, not a curated record.
CACAACCGACCACCGUAUUCCAUUAUUAUCAAAGCGACCAAAUUUCAUUGGCCGCAUGUGUGCAUGCGGCAUUCAAAUUGAGCGGUAGUGCAAACGCUUAUGGCAAUUCGUCGGAUGAUUUACCACGUAUCAAGAGGGCGACUGAUUCCACGAAUCGAGGCUACCCUAGGGCGUUUCAAGUGGAAACGUCGUAAAACCGCGUUCGGUCUCUAUAUAUCGGCUAACCGCAUUCCCAUUCCAGAAACGUGUGAGUCAAGCGCCGCGACGCUUGGCGUCGUAAAUAACAUUCCCAACAAUUAGCACACGCGACAAAGGGGGCGUAUAGAGCGCAAAGGAGUGGUUGCGAUCUUUUCUCAUAGACUCGAAUGUACAGGGUGUCCCAUUAUUUACAGACAAUCAAUUAUAAAUAUGAUUCUAUUAAUAAUUAGAAGAAAUAAUAAAAUUUCAUCGUGACUUUUCGAUGUACGGACAAUUUUUCAAAUUUUCUCGAAAAUUAAUUUUUUCUUCAUUUUCAUGCAUGCGGAAUAAUGAUUCAUUUUUAUUAUCGAUCGAAUAAUUUCUUUCUCUUCGAUUCAUCGACACUUCUUCACAAUUUGACGCUCUACGUGAUAUGGAAUAAGAACGAUUGUACUCCUGAUUUUCGCAAUGGUCCCUACUUACUCUCCAUCUUCGUCCAGUUAAUUCGAUCGUUCGCUACCCCAAAUCGUUUAACCACCCUCUCUGCAAUCGUCCACCGUCGAGGAAUUAAUCGCAUUACAGGAGUAUUUUUAUUGGACGGAUUACGAAACGAUCUCUCUGUAAUGGUCGUGUAAAUUUUAAGGGCUCUGCGUUUCGAGAGCUUUGCUACACGUCGUUGAAUGGCGUUAAUGGCGGAAAAAUGGAGCUUAGAAUUUUUUGUUCCGAUAGAGCGAUAUGAUUUUUAUUUCAUCUUUUUUUAUUUAUUUAUCUAAUUGAUGAAAUUGUUCACAAUUUAUUUUUAUAAAUUAUUCAAUUCGUGAUAUUAUCAUAAUAUUGAUGUAUUAAUUUGUUGUAAAAGUAAUUAUAUAAUAUAAAACAAAGUAAUCUCGGUUAAUUAAGAUCUUAGAUAAACGAUUAUCGUAUAUAAUCUCGUUCUUAAUUUUAUUCUUAUAAAUUUAUACAAAUUCCCAUUAUUAACCGUUAAAUUAAAAAUUAUCAGAUAAUGUACGAAAAAAAUGUACAAUCAUCGUCAAUUAAACAUCCUAACACGUUAGAGGUUUUUAAUUUACAUUUUAUCGCAAAUAAUAUUUUAUAAAGCUAUAAUUAACAAAUUAAUUAAACAAGUUUAGCUCGUAAUUCUUUCUUCUCCACACUCACUGAAAAAGAAAAAGAAAAAGAAAGUAAUAAGGCGCAUUGAUAUAAUUAAAUUGCUCAAUAUUCUCCGUGUUCUUCCGCCUUCUUUAAAUUCCGAACAUUAUAAAAACAACUUGUAACUUGUAACGGACCGAAUCGAAGUGGAUCGAAAGAAGUGGAAGAAGUGAACUUCACGGACCGCCCAUAGCUGGCUUAUCAUAAGUAAAGAAGAAAGAAAGAAAAAACCCGGAGGUUCUAGAGAAAUAUAAAAAUUCGAAGCGAAAAUCCUUGGCGAGUAUUAACGUUCGAAUAUACGCACGUCGGUUUCCAAUCUUUAUCAAAGGAUACUGGCUAUCCUACUAUCCUCUCCAAUGUAAAGAACUCGAAAGAAAAAGAUAAGAGGGAGGGAGAGUACUGGUCGGUCCCAAAGAAUCCGUGCCUACUCCUCCCGACCGAGCCUCGAAUAGUUCUCCAUUUAUGUUCCACAUUUAUUGUUAUUAGCCUGCAGUUAUCGUGACCAAGUAUAUUCACUUAAAAUUGAGCAUGCGUGUAAUGUAUUCGUACGUAUUUAUACUACCCGAUAUAUCGAGUGCAUGGAUCGUUUCCUCCACGUGUUUUCUCGCGGAACGUUCGAACGAAUUUUCAUGAAGUUUCGUGUUCGGUGAUAACGAUAGGAUCGGGUUCGAUAUAAGUCCGAGUUAAAUUCAAUUCCGUUCUAAAUGUACACAUUUUUGACACACCCUUUAUCUUUUGCAUAACGGAAUUUAUUUAUUAAAUCAGUGUAUACGAUUCAAAUUAUUCACAGAAAUUAAUGGUGUUAAUGUGAAGAAAUUAUAUAAUUUACGAAAAAAAACUGGAAUCUUGUUCAAUGCUGUUUGCUCGCGGUAUGUUUAGUCCCAUCACUUGUGUUCGAUAGGAUGAAAAAUAUUGGUAUUAUUAACUGGAUUAAGAAUCGUGAUAUUUUUUUUCCUUUAUUUUUGUUUCAUUAUACGAGAAAUACCUCGAAGGCAUCGAUUUUUAGAUCGAAAAGUGGUCUUUUGAUAUACAAUAGAGAGAGAAUCGAGUCUUUGUCGGUGAGUUUGGCUCUCGCAUUCCAUUUGGUAUUAAGGUCGCGAUUUUCGUUCGAAUCUCGACUUGGAAUCUCAAUUCCACUUUUUUCUCGGUUCUCUUUCGCGUCGACUGCAAAUGAAACGUGAAUAAAGUUUUGGUAUAGCGGCUACGAAUAGUAUUUGCAUAUUAUUGAAUUUAAUAUUGGUGGUAAUAUAAAAGAAAUACGCUGUGAUAAUAAAAUUUUAAAAAUCUAUAUCGAUGUUAUGGAUAUUUAUUAAUUGUCAUCUUGCGUUCGGAUAACGAAUAAUCAAAAUUUGAUCGAUACAAACAGUUUGUGGAAUCACAGUUGAAAUAUUAGUUAUGGAACUAGGAGCGAUAUAGCUUAUUUCGUAUUUAAAUCGUCACCCUUGAUUCGUAAUUGACUGACUUUAAAACAGGGAACGAACGUUGCUCCUCCUACUUUCUAUUCCACCUUCAGUCUCGAAUUUUCCUCGUAGUUUCUCGCCUCCCUUUAAUUUUCAACCCUUCGUAAGCACCUCGAAUUUCUUUCGACAAUAUCUCUAGCAAUUCGCCAUAACUGCGAUAAAUUUACGAAAAACUGGUUUAACUUUGAUAAAAUUACGAAAAAUGAGAGUUUGUUGAACUGUGCUAUAUUAUUUAUUUUUACCUGUUAAUAAAUGAUUGGUACGAAAUAAUUGAGAAGAUUUGAGAGGAAUUGAGAAGGGCAUAAAUUUUCACGAAUCUAAUUAUAAAAAUUGAAUGAUAAUAAUUUGUAUCAAGACUUAAAUAUAUAAUGCACGCUUUGUUUUAAAUAUUUUAAAUAUUUUGUACAUGGAUUUAAAUUUUCUGCAAAUAUAAUCAUUCUCGAUUUAGUCCUCGAUAAAUAAUGGUAUAAUAUUUUUUGUGCCAGAGUAGUAAAAAAAAAAUCAGGAACGUUUCAACUUGUAUCGUGUAGCCAGAAUGAGAAAUCAAUCGAAUUUUCUCCUGAAACUCUUUCAAACGUCGUUUUCCUCUCGCCAUUACCGUACUUACUCGCAGCACGGCCAAAUUAGUGGAACGAAGAGGUACAGAAGACGAAAAGAAGAGGAACAGAGACGAUCAACGCGCCGCAUACCGGUAUAGCCAGCAACCAGCAGCCGAGUAUCAUCGGACCGGCUACGCUCGAGUUUCUUAAUGUAAUUUUCCUUUUUUACCUCCAUUCGCUUUACGAUCGAAACUUUUGCCCUUCUCUCCCUCGCUCGUGUUCCUGUCGUCCCAUCCCUUUGCCCCCUCCAUCUCCUUUUCUUCUUCCUCGACUCGUUCUCCCGCCUCUUCGUGGUCCACCUUCGCGCGCCCCAUCCCCUCCCCCGUUUCCUUUUCGUCUGCUCGAACGAGCCGUUCGAGCACGAGUUUGCGAACUUUCGUGAUUCUAUAUUACGCGUUGGCCCCCUGUCUUAUGCUUUCCUCUUGCGUCGUUUUCUUCCUCGAAUCUCGGUCCGCAGACUGGCCGUAAUUAUGCAUCCAAGUUGGAAGCCCGAUUAAACGAUAUUUUAGAUAGGAAGUGGGAAAGAAUGCCUCUAUCGAAUUCCGUUUCCUUGCAUUUUUAAGGCGGGUUUACACUGGCCGAUCGUGUUCCCAUGAAUAAGAUAAAUUGAAAUAAAGUGAAGUAGAGUGAUAACAGGAUAAGAAAUUGGAAAGUGUCUACGGUUAAUCUGCAGGUAAUUGUAUCCUUAAUUAGAUAGCAUCUAAAGAAUAAACAAAUAGAAUUCUUAAUUAGAUGUGGGGAAUAAAACUAGAAACAGAAAGAGCCAUGUAGCCAUCUUUGUAUUAGUGGUGCACUCUGUAGAGAAGUUUAGAUAUUAGUAACGAGUAUGCUUUGUUUACGAAAGUUUAUAGUUCUCGUUGAAAUUUGGUUUCAUCUUCAAUUUUCAAUACAGUGAAAAGAGAUUAUUCUUUAAAUCUAUGAUUGUUUAUUGACCCAAAUUUUGCCGAAGUAUAUCAGGUUAUAUGUAAACGUGCAUGUGAUACAUUGUUGAAAAAUACGAAGAGUAGAUCGAUCUUUACUUUACGAUGCGUUUGUUGAAUACGUCGUGUUUGAUUGGAAUAACAGAAAUGUGUUCACGCUGAUUUUAUUUAGGCUGUUUCGAUUGAAGAUUAAACGAAAUUGUGAAUCGAAAUGUCGAAACUGGUUCGCGUAUAUUUAUGGAAUCGGUUCGGUAAAUUUUACGAGUCAGGAACUGUUAUAAAUACAAUAUUAAUACAAGGUUCAUUAAAUGACGUCAUUUAAUGGCGCAUAUGGCUAUUUUAGUAAUGCAUAAAUGAAUAACUUUUGAUAGUUGUUCUUCUUCGAGCAUACUUACUUUUUACACAGAAAAGAUUUGAUUUUAUUUAGAAAUAUUUCAUUAUUAACUUGGUAAUUUUUAAAUGAAAUAAUAUAACGAAUCAUUUUAUCAAUUUCUAUAUUUCCAUAAUAUCAAAUUUUCUUCUCGUUUUACGAGAAUAAAGUAACAAUCAUGAUUAAAAUUAUUCGUAUAUUUUAUAUACAUAUUUAUAUAUAUAUAUAUUAAUACGCAUCAAUACUGAUUAAAAACUGAUUAUCUUUAAUAGUAAGAAUUUCUGCAACUUAAUAUUCUAUUAAUUAACACUUGCGAUUUGUACUUCACUUUAUUACAUCCUCGACGAUUUAAAAUCAAAGUUUUAUUCACGAAGUAAACAAUCUCCAUGGAAGAAAUCAACCGUAUCCUCGAUGCAAUUGCUUAUAUUUGCAUAUACUACGAUUUCUUGCGAGAAGAAAGAAAAGUAUCGGUGAAUCGACAUGAAAUUAAAAUCAACGAAAUACUAACGGACGACGAUCCUAUCGAACGCAUUUUACAAGGUUAUCGACGAAGAAGGUAUGAAGAUAGCAAAGGAAGAAAGGGAAAAGCCGCGGCUUCUCGCGCGGCCACUUAAACAUCCAGGCGGUAGAGAAUUUACGUAUCGAGGAGUAGAAUGCGAGAAAAAGGGUGGAGGGAAGGUGCCACGGGAAGAAAGAGACGCAGGAUGGUCUGCAUAUAAAGUGGACACGAAAUGAAGCGGGUUACGUUGCUUGGCUGGUAUAGGAGCAUAUGCCUCUCUCCUCCAUCCGUGAAGUUUGCCUCGCCUUUUUACUCGGUGUACAUUUCGUUUACAUAGGAUCCACGUGCAAGCGGGCGUGCAAAUGCGAAUAUACGCUAUGGAACGUGUACAUGCUUGGCUGUGUGCGCGCAAUGUAUACAGGGAGGCGUUAAAAAAUAAAAAAAAAUUCUUCUCUUCGUUCUUUUAAGUGGAAUAUUCUGAGGAUAUUAUAGGUAUAUUAAUGUUUUGUUAUUUGGCUGUCACUGGAUCUAAUAAAGAAUACUUGAUUUAUUUUUCUUUAUUAUGCAGAUAAAGAAUUGUAGAAGAUACAAAGAUAAAAGAAACAGUUACUCUGCAACAAGUUUUUUUAUGGAGAUACAUUUUGAAACUGAAAAUAUUAUCUCUCCAUUUUCUUUCUCUUCUGCAUAGUUAAUUUCUAAAUUUUCAUCAUCAAUUUAAAUUAUUUAACUCAUAUCUUGAAAAUAAUUUGAAAAAUUGAAUCCCAUUUAUCAAUUUAGUUAAAAUUUAGUAAAGUCAAAAUAAUUCAGUUCUUUUGUAGCAGAAAAUGUUUUUCGAGUAAAUAUUGAUUUUCAUAAUAAAUAACAAAAAUGUACUUGCUUAUUUCAUUUAAAACAAUUUUAUCAUAUUAAUAAUAAUACUGCCAGACAAAAAAAAGCGCAUCGAUACCUGCAACAAUCUCCAAAAGAAUAGCUUGUACGCAGCAUUUCACAUGACUCACCCUGUAUACAGAGAAGAGUGUAAGAAAAAAAGAGGCCGUAUUCCGUGUUGGUGGGCAGGGACAGAAGAGAGAGAGAGAGAGAAGAGAAUCCACGUAAAGGCAGAGCAUCCACCACCACUACCAGCAACAAGAAAGGAAGAAAGAGGGACAGAAAGAAGAUCGAGGCUUGGUUAAAAGCGCGCAGGGUGCUCACAAUGGCCGACGAUUUUCAACUUUUGCUAUCGCCUAGCCGAGAAUGGAAAAUGGAGAAUCCCAACGCUGGAUACAUACAUAUAUAUAUAUAUAUCUACACUGAACUCAUUUACUUUGAAAGUUUCUCGAGAGCCUCCUUGCAUCUCUUUUCACCCGCGUUUACUGUUUUCUCCGUCUUCUUUUCAUCCUUCGAAGAGAUAUUCCCGCAUCGUGGAUCGAGCGUGAAACGCACUCCUGCCAAUUAUCGAUGGAGAUUUCACGGAUUUUGCAAAUUAAAGGAUUACACGCGAUCGAUUCGAAGAGAAGAAUCGAAAUGUAAAAUCGAUUUUAAAUGGUUCCUCUUUUUUAAUUUAUUAAGUUUCAGAUAUCUUUGAUCAGAUAUCUGUUUCAAUUUUUUUUUUUCUUUUAGCUUGUAUAAAAAUCUUUUUAAUGAUCGUUGGAAUAUUUUAAGAAGGGAAAUAAAUUAUUUAUUCUUUUUUAUUUAAAUGCGAAUUUAUUUUUGGAAAGAAAUUGAGGGAAUGAAUAAUGGCAACAUAAUUUACGGUUCGCAAUUUAAAAUAUCCGUUUUGAUCAAUUGAAAAUUAAUUAAAUAAAUGAUAUAUGCGGAAUUGUAUUAUUCAUUUUAAAAAUAAUGCACGUUUAUUUUUCAAAAUUUUAUCUGAUAAAUAUUUGAUAAUUCAAGAAACGUAGAAAAUUUAAUCUAAUUUAGAAUUUGAGGAUAUGCUCAGAAUAAAUAUUGAGGUUAAGCAACGAUAUUUUAUUUCCUGUUCUUAAUUAAUAAUUGUUUUUACUUUUCAUAAAAACUGUAUAUAUAUACACAUAUAAUGAAUUAACAAUAUCGUUGAAUUAAUGAAUAUAUAUAUAUAUAU